CCUUUAUUUUAACUCUUAAAGCAAAAUCAGAUUUUACUAUUACUUGUAUGACCCUUUUCGUCAUACCAAAAUAACUCCUCUAUCAUUCUUGCUUUUAUUUAUAAAUUAUUAAUCAAAACAAUUUUCUAACACAAAAUUUAAAGUUUUGAUUUAUAUUAUUUUCGAGAUGUUAGGUACUGCGUUAUGACUUACUAGACUAUCAAUGCUCCGAAUCUAGUAUAAUAUAAUUGGUAUCUUUUGUUUUCAAUUUGUAUCGAACAUUUUUUUAAAGAAAUUAUCAAAUUCAUACUAACCAUUUAGUCCUAACAUCCUCAUGGAAAAGACAGACAUAUGUUUUAAAGCCUUCUCAACCUUUUAUGAUUUAGUGUCGAACGUGACAGACAAAAUCCCAUAAACACGUGAAAUAUGCAAUGAAAAAUAAUCACAUUCGUUUGAUACGUUAGCCAUUAAAUAAUAUUGAAUGUAAAUAUUUGUAAAUGAUUUAUCAACAUAUCCUGUAACAAGUCAGGUAAAUGGCUAUUGUUAUAUGAUAGUUCGUUUCUGUGUGUGCUACAUUUUAAAGUUGUGUUACUCUUGUGUAAUAGUUCUCUUAUAUUUGAUACGUUUCCCUCAGUUUUAGUUUGUAACCCGGAUUUCUUUUUUCUCUAUCGAUUUGUGAAUUUCGAACACCGUUAUACUACUGUUGCCUUUAUUUAUUCAAAUAUCAAGAAAACAAUCACUUAGAUCUGUGGUGUUCAUUUUCCACUUUUUGAUGGUUUAAUUUUUUAGUAAUACCGCUGAAUGUAGCUAACAGGUUUCCUCAAAAACUGUUGAAUGUUUUUUGCAGCUUGAUUAAGCACGUCAAUUUUCUUUGUUGAGAACAAAUUCACUCGAGGAUGAAAAUAUUGAGGUAAAUUGUUUGUACGGAUGCAUUCAAAUAGACGUUCAGACAUUGAAAUUAGCCUUGUAGCCACAUGAUCUUCUGACCAUUCAGAAUCAUGGGGAUAUUCCUCACACUCCCAGAAAAGGAUAUUCAAUAAAUGGUAAGAUGUCAAUUCUUGUUUCAUGCUUUGAGGACACCACUCUUCCUUCAGGCUUUUUCAUAAUUUUUUCAGACAUCUUCCUACAAG
RNAcentral lists this long non-coding RNA (1109 nucleotides) under Mytilus galloprovincialis (Mediterranean mussel). The record is from RNAcentral. Lineage: Eukaryota; Metazoa; Mollusca; Bivalvia; Mytilida; Mytilidae.